This is a long non-coding RNA of Eurytemora carolleeae, 409 nucleotides long. RefSeq lists it as uncharacterized. The transcript is spliced from 3 exons. The record is from RefSeq and is a predicted model, not a curated record. NCBI's taxonomy places the organism in Eukaryota, Metazoa, Arthropoda, Copepoda, Calanoida, Temoridae.
AACAAAUAAAACUAAAAAAGUUUUUCUAACUUGUCAAAAUUGUAUGAUUUGCAUUGGCAUAAGUGAAAGAUGUACUUCUGAUUAGAAAGGGUAUUACAGAUCCGGAAGUCCUGAUUCCAGGUUCUACUACUACGAGAAGUUGGAUAGUAACAUCAGUUCUCCUGUGAUCACAGAGAAGAAUAAAUAUUCUGGCAUCUGUUAUAAGUUUCAGGUUCCAGAUUUCCUCUGGGAGAAAGGAGUUUCAAGGUUUUAUAUAAAAACAAAGGUCAACACACUUAUUGGCUUUAGUCAUUAUGGCCAAAGGAGUGGAAUUGACAAUCAGGAUAAGGUAAAAUUAUCAUAAAAUCGAUCCAAUUUUCUUUUCUUUCUUGAAUGAUUAUUUCAUGUAAAUAUAGUGGAGAAAAAUUGG